AGGAUGAACGCUGGCGGCGUGCCUAACACAUGCAAGUCGAACGUCCUGUCUCGCAAGAGGCAGGGAGUGGCGGACGGGUGAGUACCACGUGGGUUAUCUACCGUGAGGUGAGGAAUACCGGCGAGAAAUCGCCGACAAGACCGCAUAGCCUCGGUGCAAGCCGAGGAAAGCUUUCUCGAGAGAGGGAGCGCCACACGAGGAGCCUGCGCCCGAUUAGCUAGCUGGUGGAGUAACGGUUCACCAGGGCGACGAUCGGUAGCUGGUCUGAGAGGACGAUCAGCCACACUGGGAUUGAGAACGGCCCAGACUCCUACGGGGGCAGCAGUGAGGAAUUUUCGCAAUGGGGGCAACCCUGAACGAGCAACGCCGCGUGCAGGAAGAAGGUUUUCGGAUCGUAAACUGCUUUUCUCGGGGAAGAGAACGGACGGUACCCGAGGAAUCGAGCCCCGGCUAACUACGUGCCAGCAGCCGCGGUAA
This 477-nucleotide ribosomal RNA is filed under the name uncultured bacterium. RNAcentral describes it as "SSU rRNA". It matches the Rfam family "Bacterial small subunit ribosomal RNA", at positions 26 to 523 of the family's 1533-position model. The record is from RNAcentral.